RNAcentral lists this ribosomal RNA (461 nucleotides) under uncultured bacterium. Its description in RNAcentral is "partial 16S ribosomal RNA". It matches the Rfam family "Bacterial small subunit ribosomal RNA", at positions 29 to 523 of the family's 1533-position model. The record is from RNAcentral.
AACGAACGCUGGCGGCAGGCCUAACACAUGCAAGUCGAACGAGCUGAGACCUUCGGGUCUCGAUGCUAGUGGCGCACGGGUGAGUAACGCGUGGGAACGUACCCUUUAGUACGGAAUAACCCAGGGAAACUUGGGCUAAUACCGUAUACGCCCUUCGGGGGAAAGAUUUAUCGCUAAAGGAUCGGCCCGCGUCUGAUUAGGUAGUUGGUGAGGUAACGGCCCACCAAGCCGACGACCAGUAGCUGGUCUGAGAGGAUGAUCAGCCACACUGGGACUGAGACACGGCCCAGACUCCUACGGGAGGCAGCAGUGGGGAAUAUUGGACAAUGGGCGAAAGCCUGAUCCAGCCAUGCCGCGUGAGUGAAGAAGGCCUUCGGGUUGUAAAGCUCUUUCGACGGGGACGAUGAUGACGGUACCCGUAUAAGAAGCCCCGGCAAACUUCGUGCCAGCCGCCGCUGUAA